Molecule: long non-coding RNA, 648 nt
Organism: Ochotona princeps (American pika)
Lineage: Eukaryota; Metazoa; Chordata; Mammalia; Lagomorpha; Ochotonidae
Exons: 3
Source: RefSeq, a predicted model, not a curated record
CCUAAAGGACACAACAUUAUUGACCAAUGGAAGGAAGCCCUCAAGCAUCAAAGACCCACAAGAAAUUUAGUUGGGAACUGAACAUUCAUCUCGCAGCCCCAACUUCAAACCGUAAGGAAUCUGAAUGCUUGCCAGAGUUCCUGAUUUGCUGCCUUGCCAUGUGGCCUGUGAGAGCAGAGGCUGCACAACAGCUUUCCAUAACAGGAAGUUCUGUGGCUUGUUUGGGAGUUGGAAUAAGAGAGAGAAUCCCAUUUGCUGGUUUACUCCUUAAAUGCCUACAGCAGCUUGCCAAAGCCAGGAGCCAAGAACUCAAUCCAAGCCACAUCUGUAGGCAUCAGGACUCCAAAUAUUUGAAUUAUCACCUGCCACCUCCUAUGGUGUGCAUUAUCAGGAAGAUGGAAUAGGAGCAGAGCUGGGCCUGGAAUCUGCACCAGAAAUGGAAUGUGGUCAUCCCAAGCAACACUUUAACUGUUGUAUCAGCUGCCUCCCCUUUGUUGCAGUGUUUUCCACCUGCUCAUGGAUACAGAGCCCACGGACACUGAAGGGCAGCUUUAUUCACUCAAUUGUGCAUUUCAAUCUGUAAUUGCUGCAGACAUUUAGGAAAGAAUGAGAUCUGAGUGGACUGAAGUCUGGGGGAGGAUUGUGUGG